RNAcentral lists this ribosomal RNA (1019 nucleotides) under Limosilactobacillus reuteri. RNAcentral describes it as "bacterial SSU rRNA". It matches the Rfam family "Bacterial small subunit ribosomal RNA", at positions 38 to 1012 of the family's 1533-position model. The record is from RNAcentral. Lineage: Bacteria; Bacillati; Bacillota; Bacilli; Lactobacillales; Lactobacillaceae.
GGCGGGGGUGCUAAUACAUGCAAGUCGUACGCACUGGCCCAACUGAUUGAUGGUGCUUGCACCUGAUUGACGAUGGAUCACCAGUGAGUGGCGGACGGGUGAGUAACACGUAGGUAACCUGCCCCGGAGCGGGGGAUAACAUUUGGAAACAGAUGCUAAUACCGCAUAACAACAAAAGCCGCAUGGCUUUUGUUUGAAAGAUGGCUUUGGCUAUCACUCUGGGAUGGACCUGCGGUGCAUUAGCUAGUUGGUAAGGUAACGGCUUACCAAGGCGAUGAUGCAUAGCCGAGUUGAGAGACUGAUCGGCCACAAUGGAACUGAGACACGGUCCAUACUCCUACGGGAGGCAGCAGUAGGGAAUCUUCCACAAUGGGCGCAAGCCUGAUGGAGCAACACCGCGUGAGUGAAGAAGGGUUUCGGCUCGUAAAGCUCUGUUGUUGGAGAAGAACGUGCGUGAGAGUAACUGUUCACGCAGUGACGGUAUCCAACCAGAAAGUCACGGCUAACUACGUGCCAGCAGCCGCGGUAAUACGUAGGUGGCAAGCGUUAUCCGGAUUUAUUGGGCGUAAAGCGAGCGCAGGCGGUUGCUUAGGUCUGAUGUGAAAGCCUUCGGCUUAACCGAAGAAGUGCAUCGGAAACCGGGCGACUUGAGUGCAGAAGAGGACAGUGGAACUCCAUGUGUAGCGGUGGAAUGCGUAGAUAUAUGGAAGAACACCAGUGGCGAAGGCGGCUGUCUGGUCUGCAACUGACGCUGAGGCUCGAAAGCAUGCGUAGCGAACAGGAUUAGAUACCCUGGUAGUCCAUGCCGUAAACGAUGAGUGCUAGGUGUUGGAGGGUUUCCGCCCUUCAGUGCCGGAGCUAACGCAUUAAGCACUCCGGCCUGGGGAGUACGACCGCAAGGUUGAAACUCAAAGGAAUUGACGGGGGCCCGCACAAGCGGUGGAGCAUGUGGUUUAAUUCGAAGCUACGCGAAGAACCUUACCAGGUCUUGACAUCUUGCGCUACCUUAGAGAUAAGCG